AUGCAGUCGAGCGGCAGCGGGAAAGUAGCUUGCUACUUUUGCCGGCGAGCGGCGGACGGGUGAGUAAUGCCUGGGAAAUUGCCCAGUCGAGGGGGAUAACAGUUGGAAACGACUGCUAAUACCGCAUACGCCCUACGGGGGAAAGCAGGGGACCUUCGGGCCUUGCGCGAUUGGAUAUGCCCAGGUGGGAUUAGCUAGUUGGUGAGGUAAUGGCUCACCAAGGCGACGAUCCCUAGCUGGUCUGAGGGAUGAUCAGCCACACUGGAACUGAGACACGGUCCAGACUCCUACGGGAGGCAGCAGUGGGGAAUAUUGCACAAUGGGGGAAACCCUGAUGCAGCCAUGCCGCGUGUGUGAAGAAGGCCUUCGGGUUGUAAAGCACUUUCAGCGAGGAGGAAAGGUCAGUAGCUAAUAUCUGCUGACUGUGACGUUACUCGCAGAACAAGCACCGGCUAACUCCGUGCCAGCAGCCGCGGUAAUACGGAGGGUGCAAGCGUUAAUCGGAAUUACUGGGCGUAAAGCGCACGCGUGCGGUUGGAUAAGUUAUAUGUGAAAGCCCCGGGCUCAACCUGGGAAUUGCAUUUAAAACUGUCCAGCUAGAGUCUUGUAGAGGGGGGUAGAAUUCCAGGUGUAGCGGUGAAAUGCGUAUAGAUCUGGAGGAAUACCGGUGGCGAAAGCCGCCCCCUGGACAAAGACUGACGCUCAUGUGCG
This 711-nucleotide ribosomal RNA is filed under the name Aeromonas sp. BTPF7. RNAcentral's name for it is "bacterial SSU rRNA". It matches the Rfam family "Bacterial small subunit ribosomal RNA", at positions 55 to 755 of the family's 1533-position model. Lineage: Bacteria; Pseudomonadati; Pseudomonadota; Gammaproteobacteria; Aeromonadales; Aeromonadaceae. The record is from RNAcentral.